CGGCAGCAGCGCCUGCGACCCGCCACCCAUCGCUGGAUGUUCCUCCACUUUACCCACCGUAUCAAACAACUUUUACCAGUAAAUAUCGGUUUAUUCCUGAAACCAGAAGCCCUAAACAUACCUUUGUUUAUAAGUUUUCCUGCUCUGCGUCUUUGGGAACUGGAGCCCGCAGGACCUAGAGCCUUCUGUUGCCUGGGUGGUUCUGAUUGCUGGCAGUUCUGUAAUACAACUUUAAUCUGAGCAAUUGAGGCUGGUCCUACAUUAUCUUCAGACGUCUUGCGGAGGACUCCUGUUACCAGUUUGGUACUCAAAAGCUACACCCCACCAUCAGAAGUCACUUAUUUUUCUCUUUUUCAAAGGCAGUGAUAGAUUACCCUCUCUAGCUCUAAUGGAAAAAUUAUAAUUGCAAUGCAACUUUCUAAUAAAUUGUUCAUAUAUUCAUAAUUCCGUUGCAAUCCCAAAUUGGAGAAGAGAUCUGUUAAAGGUAUAUAUUAGUCUAGAUUUUUUCUUAUUGUAAAUACUGUAAUUUUAUAAUAUUGUCAAUAUUUUAUUAACUUAGAAAUAUUUAACAGAGUUUAAUCUAUGGUAGUUGAUUUAUUUAUAGGUUUAUGUUGCAGCCAAUAUUGCAUUACAUUCUAAUGUAAGAUUAACUUUCAGCAUGUAAACAUUGAUUUAAUAUGUCAUUGGAAAGAUUAAGAGAGAAGACUCUCACUCUUAAUCUGUAAUAUUUAUCCCCCAAUUCCCAGUUUGGAAUUAUUUAACAAAAUAUUAAGAGGUUUCAAGAGCUCAUGAAUCUAACAAAUGCAGUUGGGUUUGAAAACUUGAAUUUUGCAAUGUACCUGGCUCUUUCACCCUGUGAAUGAGUUUGCUUCAAUAUCUAAUCUAUGUAUAGUAUGGAAGUCUUUAUUUUGAGCAAAGGGACACUGUCAGUUCAAUUUUAGAUUCUUGUU
Long non-coding RNA from Charadrius vociferus (killdeer), 950 nucleotides. RefSeq lists it as uncharacterized. NCBI's taxonomy places the organism in Eukaryota, Metazoa, Chordata, Aves, Charadriiformes, Charadriidae. The record is from RefSeq and is a predicted model, not a curated record. The transcript is spliced from 4 exons.